This 468-nucleotide ribosomal RNA is filed under the name uncultured bacterium. RNAcentral's name for it is "partial 16S ribosomal RNA". It matches the Rfam family "Bacterial small subunit ribosomal RNA", at positions 28 to 507 of the family's 1533-position model. The record is from RNAcentral.
GACGAACGCUGGCGGCGUGCUUAACACAUGCAAGUCGAACGGAAAGGCCCUGCUUUUGCGGGGUGCUCGUGUGGCGAACGGGUGAGUAAAACGUGAGUAACCUGCCCCUGACUUUGGGAUAACUUCAGGAAACUGGGGCUCAUACCGGAUAGAAGCUCCUGCUGCAUGGUGGGGGUUGGAAAGAUUCGGCGGUUGGGGCUGGAAUCGCGGCUUAUCAGCUUGUUGGUGGGGUAGUGGCUUACAAAGGCUUUGACGGGUAGCCGGCCUGGGAGGUUGACCGGCGACAUUGGGACUGAGAGACGGCGCAGACGCCUACGGGAGGCAGCAGGGGGGAAUAUUGCACAAUGGGCGGAAGCCUGAUACGGCGACGCCGGGUGCGGGAUGACGGGCUACGGGUUGUAAACCGCUGUCGCCUGUGACGAAGCGUGAGUGACGGUAAUGGGUAAAGAAGCACCGGCUAACUACGUG